RNAcentral lists this transfer RNA (74 nucleotides) under Candidatus Nomurabacteria bacterium RIFCSPLOWO2_01_FULL_36_10b. Its description in RNAcentral is "tRNA-His". It matches the Rfam family "tRNA". From Rfam's summary of the family: Transfer RNA (tRNA) molecules are approximately 80 nucleotides in length. Their secondary structure includes four short double-helical elements and three loops (D, anti-codon, and T loops). The record is from RNAcentral. Lineage: Bacteria; Candidatus Nomuraibacteriota.
GUCUCCGUAGCUCAAUAGAAGAGCGUUUCUUUGUGGAAGAAAUGGUUGAGGGUGCAAGUCCCUUCGGAGACCCA